AUGGGCCCAAUGGGCAUAGCCCACUAAGCCCAAGCAAGCCUAUUUAUGCAAUUCCAAUUAUCAUUCCCAUCCAUCAUCUUUAAAAUGAAGUGCUGUAACUCUCAAAAGUAAAUGUUCCAGUAAUAUUUUAUAACAACUAAAUAUUCAUAUUUAUAUUAUAUCAAAGUACUGUCAUCAUCAAUCCAACAUAUACAUACUUCAUUUAUAACAUGACUCUUAGUAGUUUACAUUACAUAUACAUGUUCACAAGUAAUAGACUCAAGAUCGCCAGCGGAGUGACUUUAAGUGAAAGUAUCGCUAUUAAGAUGCCAUAUUACCUACCAAGAAGGCGAGCAUAUGUGUGCGACUCAAUCUAGGUCCCAACUGCCUCUGAAUCUGAAAACAUGAAGUUUAAAAACGUGAGUAUAAACUUAGUGAGUAAACAUUAGAAGGGAACAAGUAAUCGAUAGGAAGAAUUUGAAAAUCAUGAUACACUUGUUUCAAAAACAAUGCACGUGAUUUAAUUUCUUACUAAAAACCCUUCAUUUCAAGCCUUGAUUAAUACCUUCAUAGUGUUUCACAAACCCAUGAUCAAUCCAUGAAGUUAAAUGGGUGAAAAGUAGGUCAAAAUCAAGCAAGGUAGCAAGCAUAACAGCAAGUUUCUCGCUGCAGCGAAGUUCAUUCUCGCUGCAGCGAGAUUCAGGAGCCAAAACAGAAUGUUUCUCGCUACAGCGAGAAGCAGGGCACAUAAGUGUAAAAAGGACCUCCUUUGCAUUAAAAAUCCAUUUGGUGUUGCAAUAAAAAUAAAUUUGCAAGAAAAUGAAAAAUUCUCAAGAUUCAUCAUGCUAAAUUUCACAUGCAUUACAACCAUAUACCAUAUUCAUGAACUUUUAUUUCACAAACAUAUAAAUACAUAUAUACAUAAAUAAACACCAAUACCACCAUCUCACCCAGCUCAUGUGCAUCCCCCCACAUUGUGCACAUAGCCGGAGUCGUCGACAUCAUCGACUUAUGCGCACUCCUUACUCGCACAUAGUCGGGUCAUCAUCAUCAUCGGCUUAUGCGCACUCCCUACUCGCACAUAGCCGGGUCAAUAUUAUCACACAACAUUAUUCAUCAAUGCACAAUAUAUAUUCAUAUAUAUAUACAUACAUACCAACAUAAUAUAAAAGCACAUGGAUUCAUCCUUUUACACUUUUCACAUUUUAGCAACAUCAAAAUAUUUAUCAAGGGCUUGUUUCCAAGCACCCAUUUUUAAUGAAAAGGUUGAUAAAAUCAUGCAAAUAAUUCAUCUCAACACAAUUCUAUUUUUCAAAACAAUUUUGAAAUGCAAGUUCACUCACCGAUAUUUGUUAAAUCUUUAAUUGACUCUAACUUCGAUUAUUGCUUCAAACGGACAUAUGAGGCCUUGUUGGAACCUAUCACCCAUAAUAUAACUAUCAAAAAUAUAACAGUCCAUAAAUCAAAUUUCUAGCCAUCUCUAACACCUUAAAAUCAAAUUCUAACUCAUUUCUCACCUUGGUGGUCUUUUUUUUUUUUUUGUAGUUGAAUUCCUUUUCAAAAGCUUCCAAUCUACUAUGGCAAGUCCCUCUUUCUCUCUCUAAAACUUUUAACUAGUGAGAGAAAGUAUUGAACAAAGACUUUUUAAGGGUUUGAAGGUGUAAAAGUGGAAGAGCAUGAAAAACUGUAUGAAAUAGUGGGCAAAAGCAUGAAAUUUGGAGCUAGAGAGAGAAAGUUAUGGAAGUUGCAAAGCAAGCUUCCAUGGAGGAUGGAAGCAACGUGAG
This 1763-nucleotide long non-coding RNA is filed under the name Theobroma cacao (cacao). Its description in RNAcentral is "long non-coding RNA (TCAC_LNC000925)". The record is from RNAcentral. Lineage: Eukaryota; Viridiplantae; Streptophyta; Magnoliopsida; Malvales; Malvaceae.